UCAGUUAAUCACCAUACAAAACGUAGUUGAACAAUCAUAUCAUAAAUCCGACUCGAUUAUAACAACUUCAGUCAAAACUUCAACCAACAAUUGGUUCCAUCAGCCCUAGAUAAGUGUUUAGCUACUCAUAACAAAAUAAGAGGAAACUACUAAAUUGUUCAUAAUGGAAAAUUGCAAGAAUUAAAAGGAGAUAGAAAAACUCUAAUGUUUGGUUGAUCUUCUCCCACUUGUUCUUGCCUCCAAAAAUAGUUUUAAAAAAAAACUUGGAACAAUCUUGGGCGAGUUUCUAAAGCUUAUAAGGGUUUACAAAAGUUUAUCGAAAUUACACUUUUGUCCUCAAACUUCCAGCAGCGUGAACAGUGCACCGCGGUGGUGGCCAACCGCGAUGAGAGCUGUCCUUUCUGCCUCACGAUUAUAAACAAUCGCGGUUCACCGCGGUCGCGGUGGACUUCUUGCCCAAGCCAUUUUCUGCUUCUUAGUGCUCGGAUACUUCUCGAGUGGGCAUUUUCUUCACAUUAUCGCCUCCAAAACACUCCAUGUUGAUUCCUCUCAUAUAAUAUUCCCUGCGAAACAAAAGAACACUAUUCAGAGUCUUUUGUUGGCAAUUUAUCUAUAAAACACCAACAAAGUACGGUCAUAUUAAGGUGUAAAUAUCAACUAUAUAGCCUACUAUCAGUGUUCAUGGAAGUACAACGAGGACUGAACUCACAAAUGUUUAACUUAAAUGACUUAAAAUUUGACACUUCUCAAAAUAAUAGAUAAAAAUAGUCCGAUGAUUUGAAUUGAUGUUAUGUAUAUGGAAAAGAAUACAAGAUGAACUGAAUAAUGGAGAUCUAUCUAAAACUACGUAGAACACUGAUUGAAAGGUUUUGUUAAAGAAUGCAUACUAAUACUACUACUAAAAACAAUAAAACCAAAAAAAAAAAAAAAUAAUCAACAGUAACCAUCAAAAUGAUUUUGUUCUAGAGCACCAACAAUGCUGAUAAUAUUUUUCAUCAAGUUAUAAAAUAAUAGUAUCCAAGAACUUUCAUUAUUCAGUUCAUUUGAGUAUAUGGCAAUCUCUCUCUCUCUCUCAUGGGUACGUAAAUUGAAAUACUAAGGAAUGACUUGAAUCACAAUUCUACGAAUCUAAUUAGUAGAUAUAUUAAAUAAAUAAUGGUGAAUUAGGGCAUCAAUUUAACCUCGAAUUAAGCUAGUCAAGAAUCUUGCUAACCCUUUCUUGAACAAUACAUUUAUCAACAGUACCCUGCAUUGCAUGUAUUCUCCAUAUUUUCUAGUUAAGUCGGCUGUUAAUAGUAAGAGUCUCUGAUCUCGGUCAAUCAUCACCUCACGAGUUACCUUGCAUUUGAAUAAUUUCUUAACAUUGAACUCUUCAACUUGUCUUGAUACUGAUAAGCUUUUUCUCGCUCUCUAACUUUCUCUCUCGACGCAUUAUAGCGUGUUGGGCAUCCUACGCCUUGGCCGGAAAUGGGGAGGGGGAGGGGAAAACAUGGGCGAAUUUGUUUUCCAGUAAUAAGAUGGCGGCCAAAGGUAUGAAUCUGAAAUUUGUUGCUCCUACUAUCAGAGAUGGAACUUAAAUUGUUCAAUUAGAAAAAGAGGAUGUUGAACGAGAUAAUGAGAAAUGGAGACAAGCAAUUAUUUUGUAUGCUGUGGGAGAUUCUCCAAUCAUUGGAGCAGUGGAAAGGUUCAUCGCAAGUCAACGGGGAUUCACUGUUAAACCACGCGUAAUCUGAAUCCGAGAACAUCGAAUUCAACUCACGGUCAAACCUAUGAACUUUCCAAACCUUCAAAUUGUUAGGACCCGGUAGCACUAAACACUACUGCACAGCGGAAUAAAAUAAAUGAUCAAUGAAACCAAAAAUAAAUGACACAAUAUUUAACGUGGUUCACCUAAAACGUUUAGGCUACGUCCACAAAUCCGACACCAACUUCCACUAAAACAUUUAGCAGGCAUACAAAGAGAGACUUCCCCAAUAAUUUGGAGGUACAACAAUUCCUGAGCUCUACCCAAAAUAGUGGCGCACACAAAAGUGUUUCCCGAAAAAUACCCGACUAGUAUUUCUACUCACUAUUUUGUCACUCCCCUGUUAGGAAACAUUCCUAAAGGAACUAUAUCUCUCUCCCUCUCAAACUCUUUCUUCUUGAGUUUUGAUAUAUUUUUUUUGGUGUGUUAUACAAUGAAAUGGAAGGGGGUAUUUAUAGUUUUGAGAUAGGGACCAAAAGUGCAAAUCUCACCUACCAAGAAGGAUCAAUUUGCAAUAUUCCCAUCUCACCUACCACUCAUUGCAUCAUUGCUUAUCUCACUAAGGAGAGUUGCAUCAUUGCUUACCUCUCCCAUACAUCACAUAAUUGUUGGAAAAACUAACACAAAUUGUCAACUUUUACCAAAUAGUGUCGAAACCUUUUAGAAAUAUUCAAAUACAAAUUCGGGCAUAUGCCCAAGUCCAAAAUCAAGCUAUUGGAAUCAUCAAAAUACCAUUCAUGAGUCGUCUACACAAAAGUCAAACU
Molecule: long non-coding RNA, 2508 nt
Filed under: Nicotiana tabacum (common tobacco)
Lineage: Eukaryota; Viridiplantae; Streptophyta; Magnoliopsida; Solanales; Solanaceae
Description: long non-coding RNA (NTAB_LNC003091)
Source: RNAcentral